GAGCGACCUACUUGCACUUCAGAGUAAAGGGGCGGGGCUGUAUAUAGGUGUGCUCUAAUUAAAAGUGAAGCCUGAAGGCAAAACAUUGGUUGAUGAUAAAGAAGCAGAGCAUCGAUCAUCUUAGAGAGAGAUAGUCAGGAUGCGUGUGUCGGCGAUGGCUCCUCCAAAGAGGCUACACUUGUGGGGGGCAAAGAUGAUGGGGGCCACAAUGUGGUGCUGGAUAUUGUGGAGGUUCAAGCACGACUGGAGGGAUGUCUUGGGUCAUCAUGAUUCACUGGAACCACCGCCACUAGCUGACACUGUCAAGAACUGAACUAUCGAUCACUACCACCAUGCACUUAGCAAUCCUUUAGUGUGUGAUAUCUGUCUGUAAUUAAUGUCUGUACAUUGUCUAUAAUUUGUUAUCGUCAAUUUG
Molecule: long non-coding RNA, 415 nt
Organism: Halichondria panicea
Lineage: Eukaryota; Metazoa; Porifera; Demospongiae; Suberitida; Halichondriidae
Exons: 3
Source: RefSeq, a predicted model, not a curated record